Long non-coding RNA from Scophthalmus maximus (turbot), 1578 nucleotides. The record is from Ensembl. NCBI's taxonomy places the organism in Eukaryota, Metazoa, Chordata, Actinopteri, Pleuronectiformes, Scophthalmidae.
AUGUCACUGGGGUUAAAUCCACACGGAGGGCUUGCCCUCUCCCGAUUUGCUGCUGCUGCUGUUGCUGCUGCUGCCUCCCCCGCUGCCGCCUCCCUUGCCGUGCUUGAACUUAUGCUUGCGCUCCUUCUGCGGCAGGGCCUGUGGCUGAGGUUGGGCCUGGAUGAUGUUGCUCUGGGGCUUGUCGUCCCGGUUGUCCCCGAGCUGCUCCUCCGCCCGGUGCUGCUGACUGUACGCCUGGAUGGCCGCCUCCAGCUGCUCGUGAGCCUGCUGGAUCAUGUCUUUGUUCAGGGCCACGCGGGCCUCCCCUCCGGUGGGGAAGUUGUCCUCGUUGCUGCCAAAUUGCUGCUGCUCCUCCUGGGCAAUGUUGGCCCGGUUCUGCUUGCACGCCAUUUUGGCGUUGCUCAGGUCCGUGUAGGGCAUCUGCUCCGGUUUGACCACAAUGUUGUAGCCGGGUGGAGCCGACGGCGUGUUCCACGAGAAGGGGUAACCCACGUAGUCCGCGGCCCCGUCGCCGCCCACCCCUCCCUCGGAGCCCGCCUCGGGCCCCGGCACCCCCGCGGAGCCCUCCACACCGCCACUGGGGCCCAGCAGACCCAGCUGGUACUGGUCCUCCUGAGCUGGGCAGCGCCGCUGCCGCAGAAUGUCGCAGAUGGAGCCGAUGCCGAGGUGGAGCAUCUCCCAGACGUCGAGCGUGAGGCAGAGGACGGUGACGCCGUACAUGAUGCGCAGGAAGAUGGUCUUCUCCGUGGGCCGCGACACAAAGCAGUCGACGCUGUGAGGACACGGCUUCCCCGAGCACACGAACACCGGCGUCACGCGGAACCCGUACAGCAGGUACUGGCCCGCGAGGAAGCCCGCUUCGAGCACCGUGCGCGUCACCAGCUGCAGGACGUAGACCCGCAUCAGGCCCUCGUCCUGGAUGCGCUUGCGCCCGUCAUGCCGGAUUUUGGGCCUGGGCGUGGGCUGCAGCGGAUCCCUCGGCCGUUUCGAGGGCUCGAUCUCCGGCACCUCGUAGAUCAUGGGGUCGUCCUCCUGGUCCUCCUCGGCCUCCUCGAUGCCCCGGUGCUGCCGCGCCCCGAAGCAGAUUUUCCUGGGCUUCCUGUGCGUGUAGCCCCCUCCUCCCGUGCGGACCGCCGCGGACCCGGCGCCUCCUUUGGCCUCGUCCAAUCGUGCAAUCUUGUUGACGGCGUAGCCCAUGUACAUGAGAGACGGCAUCGCCACCAGGAUGAUCUGGAAGACCCAGAAACGCACGUGCGACAGCGGGGCGAAGGCGUCGUAGCAGACGUUCUCGCAGCCCGGCUGGCCCGAGUUGCAGACAAACUUGCUCUGCUCGUCGUAGUAGAUGGACUCGCCCCCGACCGCGGUGAGCACGAUGCGGAAGACGAUGAGCACGGUGAGCCACAGCUUCCCCACGAAGGUGGAGUGGUUGUGGAUCUCCUCCAGCAGCCGCGUGAGGAAGCUCCAGCUCAUGGUGUCGCUGGACAGUGGGGCAGACAGUGUCCCUCUCUCACCUGUUCACAGACUCUGGAGGGGGCAGAGAGGGAGAAAAAAAAGGAAGAGAGUGUGAGCUCACAAUGA